GGAUUAGAUACCCUGGUAGUCCACGCUGUAAACGAUGGUCACUAGCUGUUCGGAUUUCGGUCUGAGUGGCUAAGCGAAAGUGAUAAGUGACCCACCUGGGGAGUACGUUCGCAAGAAUGAAACUCAAAGGAAUUGACGGGGGCCCGCACAAGCGGAGGAAUAUGUGGUUUAAUUCGAUGAUACGCGAGGAACCUUACCUGGGCUUAAAUGUAUAGUGCAUGAGACAGAAAUGACUCUUUCCUUCGGGACUCUUUACAAGGUGCUGCAUGGUUGUCGUCAGCUCGUGUUG
Molecule: ribosomal RNA, 289 nt
Filed under: uncultured bacterium
Lineage: Bacteria
Description: partial 16S ribosomal RNA
Rfam family: Bacterial small subunit ribosomal RNA
Source: RNAcentral